Non-coding RNA from Paramuricea clavata, 219 nucleotides. The record is from the annotation of a GenBank genome assembly. NCBI's taxonomy places the organism in Eukaryota, Metazoa, Cnidaria, Anthozoa, Malacalcyonacea, Plexauridae.
AGAAAAGGCGGCGCGAGAAAAAAAGCGGCGCGAACGGCGGCGCGCGAGGGAGGGCGGGAAGGGGAAAGAAAGAAGGAGGAGACUCCGCUUCUUUCCCCUUCCCGCCCUCCCUCGCGCGCCACCUUUUUUCUCACGCACCUUUCCCCUUCCCGCCCUCCCUCGCGCGCCCCCCUUUUUUCUCACGCACCGCCUUUUUUCUCGCGCGCCGCCUUUUUUUCU